This 486-nucleotide ribosomal RNA is filed under the name uncultured bacterium. Its description in RNAcentral is "partial 16S ribosomal RNA". It matches the Rfam family "Bacterial small subunit ribosomal RNA", at positions 28 to 507 of the family's 1533-position model. The record is from RNAcentral.
GACGAACGCUGGCGGCGUGCUUAACACAUGCAAGUCGAACGCUGAAGACCUGGCUUUUGUUGGGUUGGAUGAGUGGCGAACGGGUGAGUAACACGUGAGUAACCUGCCCUCUUCUUUGGGAUAACGCCCGGAAACGGGUGCUAAUACUGGAUAUUCACUGAUCUUCGCAUGGGGGUUGGUGGAAAGGUUUGUUCUGGUGGGGGAUGGGCUCGCGGCCUAUCAGCUUGUUGGUGGGGUGAUGGCCUACCAAGGCUUUGACGGGUAGCCGGCCUGAGAGGGUGACCGGUCACAUUGGGACUGAGAGAAGGCCCAGACGCCUACGGGAGGCAGCAGUGGGGAAUAUUGCACAAUGGGCGAAAGCCUGAUGCAGCGACGCCGCGUGAGGGAUGGAGGCCUUCGGGUUGUAAACCUCUUUCGCUCAUGGUCAAGCCGCAACUGUGGGUUGUGGUGAGGGUAGUGGGUAAAGAAGCGCCGGCUAACUACGUG